ACGACCUUACUUGAACAGGAUCUGUUCUAUAGGCUCGUACCUCUGUAUCCUUGAGUUCUAAGGAGACAGGAAAUCAAGCUUGGUGGAUGAACUAUGGCCAAGAGGCUAGAGCGUGAGUAACAGCACCGCCGGUACACUCGCCGGACGGCGCCGUAGAUGAUCGUUCCCGGCUGUUAAUCGCGGCUGGGAUGGCCUCUUGGCUGUCUGACAGGCU
This is a small nucleolar RNA of Ipomoea triloba (trilobed morning glory), 214 nucleotides long. RefSeq annotates it as small nucleolar RNA U3. The record is from RefSeq and is a predicted model, not a curated record. NCBI's taxonomy places the organism in Eukaryota, Viridiplantae, Streptophyta, Magnoliopsida, Solanales, Convolvulaceae. The transcript has a single exon.